Long non-coding RNA from Apis dorsata (giant honeybee), 727 nucleotides. RefSeq lists it as uncharacterized. NCBI's taxonomy places the organism in Eukaryota, Metazoa, Arthropoda, Insecta, Hymenoptera, Apidae. The transcript is spliced from 3 exons. The record is from RefSeq and is a predicted model, not a curated record.
CGAGCCGAUUCGCGAUAAUUGAAAGAAAAUUCGAGAUCGUGAACGUGGAAAGCAUGGUUGAUCGUUGAUUACGCUCGUUGUUUACCAUUGAUUUCGAGAAAUAGCUAUGAUUCACGAGUUCUCCAUUUAGUUUGUUCGUCUCGUUUGUUUUCGUUUCUUUUCUCGUGACUCAUGAGUGGUGUUUCGAUUCAUGGUGCAUGAGAAGGAUAGCGCGAGUAUCAAGGCCGCGCGUGUUUAAUUCGAAACUUGUCGGUUCGCGCGUCGGUUGCCCUUCUGGGAUACGUGUUUUCGUUUCGAUCGUGUUCGCCACGCGGACUUGGACAUGUAACGUAUUCAAACGGACACGUGAUUUCUUGUGUGAUACAACGUGGACCGCGUCGUGCAGUGUUUAAGGGUGUUUUUUUUAAGGUGCCGCCAAUGAAGGGAUAAGAAUGCGAGCGGUGGUCGAGGGGUAGAGGGUGCUAAGGAUUUUUCGAGAUCGAGGAGCGGUUUGGAUAAGGCAUGCUAUGCGUCAGAAGACUGGAAACAGAUGUUCUCGCGAAAGAUGACAGGGUUAAGUAGAUAAAAGGAGCAGCUGCUGGUUCCAACGACCGACGACGAUUCAUCGCGUUUUCCAUGCAGUGCACAAUGCUCUGCCAUCGCGCCCUUGUCGUUCUCUUUGCUGUCAACGUGCCAAUCGGAUGAUCAGAAUUACCCCAUCCUCGCCAAAAACUCCAUCCAGAAAUAC